GGGUUGUGAGGUUAAGCGACUAAGCGUACACGGUGGAUGCCCUGGCAGUCAGAGGCGAUGAAGGGCGUGCUAAUCUGCGAUAAGCGCCGGUAAGGUGAUAUGAACCGUUAUAACCGGCGAUACCCGAAUGGGGAAACCCAGUGUGAUUCGUCACACUAUCAUUAACUGAAUCCAUAGGUUAAUGAGGCGAACCGGGGGAACUGAAACAUCUAAGUACCCCGAGGAAAAGAAAUCAACCGAGAUUCCCCCAGUAGCGGCGAGCGAACGGGGAGGAGCCCAGAGCCUGAAUCAGCAUGUGUGUUAGUGGAAGCGUCUGGAAAGGCGCGCGAUACAGGGUGACAGCCCCGUACACAAAAGCGCAUGUGCUGUGAGCUCGAUGAGUAGGGCGGGACACGUGGUAUCCUGUCUGAAUAUGGGGGGACCAUCCUCCAAGGCUAAAUACUCCUGACUGACCGAUAGUGAACCAGUACCGUGAGGGAAAGGCGAAAAGAACCCCGGCGAGGGGAGUGAAAAAGAACCUGAAACCGUGUACGUACAAGCAGUGGGAGCCCCACCACCAAAGCAUUCUCUGGUGUUGAAGGCCCUGCAAAGCAGCAUCGCGGUGGCGGAGCGUCGUUUGCGACGCCCAACACACAAAACAAGCGGUGAGUGCUUUGGGGUGG
Molecule: ribosomal RNA, 662 nt
Filed under: Salmonella enterica subsp. enterica serovar Senftenberg
Lineage: Bacteria; Pseudomonadati; Pseudomonadota; Gammaproteobacteria; Enterobacterales; Enterobacteriaceae
Also listed under: 2 other names
Description: partial 23S ribosomal RNA
Rfam family: Bacterial large subunit ribosomal RNA
Source: RNAcentral